CCAGGCAGGAGCGUGUGGCACUGGGGACAGAGCUGCCUGCUCUGCCUGCUUCCCCCGCCUCGGGCCCACCCUGCCAGAGCCGGCACGGAGCGGCCCUUUCGGGAUGCGCCGGUCCUCAGUGAGCGGAGAGGGGCUUUUGUGCCUCUGGAGUGGGAACGAGGGGCUGCGGUGGGCCCAGCAGCCGAGGGGUUAACCUUUCCCUGUUGGGAGUGCAGGAUUUUGGCCCAGCUAGGGCAGAUCGUGGAGGCACCACUUAAUAGGGAUUUGCUGGAAGGGGGGCUGAACUUCACGGGCUGGGGGUGUAGCUGAGGUGGGUGCAGAGCUGGGGCUCGCUGUGGAUGGGGGGGGGGCCCCCCAAACUUUGUUGGCAGCCCUGGCCCCUCGCCCUGCCUGUGGGGCUGCCUGGGUAGUGCCCGUACCCUUCGUUCGGGCAUCGCCUCCAGAUUCCAGGUUCCCAGACACCUGCCCAAAGCCACUGCGAUGAUCCUGACGGAAGGAGCUGCUUUACCCUGCUGCCAGCCUGGGAAAUCCUGGGAUGGUGAUCCUGAACGGGGCAGGGAAGAGUCUGAAACAGAAGGUGGGACUUCAGCAGCAGCCGUCUCCCUUUGGAGGAAUAUGCACCCUUCCAGCGGUGGCUGUGUCGUGCCUUGCCGGAUUCCCCGGCCGGUGCCAAUCCCUGCCAAACAGAGAGAUGCUGCGUGGGAGCCCUGGGGAUGCCGCCGGGUCAGCCGACGCUGCGCUCUGCUCCUCUCCCUAUUUAUACACCACUUUCUAACAGCUCUCCGUAUCAUGCAAACACUGCUGACGUUCACCCUGAAGGUGGCUGCUCCGUCGGUGCCGGAGGAAUAAACGCCUGUGCCUGCGAUCCAUAUGUGGAUGCGAGACCAUAUGGAAACCUUGGCUCAAACAGGGCGCCUGAAGCUGCAGCUGGAACGCGUUCAACGCCCAGUAUACAUCAGCCUUGGAGGGACUCAGCGCAAUGGCAUGUGGUCAUGAAAUGAAAGACUGUGUCACAGGGCAUAUGCGGGAGACGGUAGAAUUAAAAGCACAGGGAGCGGCAAGGCUUAA
This is a long non-coding RNA of Aquila chrysaetos chrysaetos, 1068 nucleotides long. RefSeq lists it as uncharacterized. The transcript has 3 exons. The record is from RefSeq and is a predicted model, not a curated record. Lineage: Eukaryota; Metazoa; Chordata; Aves; Accipitriformes; Accipitridae.